This 2860-nucleotide unclassified non-coding RNA is filed under the name Daphnia pulex (common water flea). RNAcentral's name for it is "2-(3-amino-3-carboxypropyl)histidine synthase subunit 1-like, transcript variant X1". The record is from RNAcentral. Lineage: Eukaryota; Metazoa; Arthropoda; Branchiopoda; Diplostraca; Daphniidae.
GAUAUUCCGUCGUCUGCUGCUCAACACGUUGUUAUUUCUGAAAAGUUCAUUCCUUCGUUGCAAUUUAAGAUUAAAGAUUUGAAGCUAUCGAAACAAAAUGGAAGAAACGACACCAGAUAAUAUUGCAAAAGAUAAAAUAGCUGAAACAGCCUUGGUCUCACGAGCCAAUCCCGACAGAAAAGUGUAUGGUGCGACGACAGGAAAAAUCAGGGUUAUGAACCAGAUUCCAGAUGACAUACUGAACGAUAAAAAAUUAGCAGCAGCAAUCGAACUUCUUCCAAGUAAUUAUUCCUUUGAAAUUCAUAAAACGGUGUGGAGAAUCCGCCAAGUUGGGGCUAAAAGAGUAGCUUUGCAAAUGCCAGAAGGGUUGCUCAUGUUUGCUUUGACAAUCUCAGACAUUAUAGAAGAGUUUUGUCAAGCUGAAACUGUGAUAAUGGGGGAUGUUACCUAUGGAGCCUGUUGUGUUGAUGAUCGAACAGCCAUAGCUCUAGGAGCUGACUUAAUGAUUCACUAUGGACAUUCAUGUUUAAUUCCAGUGGAUCAGACUAGUGGAAUCAAAAUGCUUUACAUUUUUGUUGAUAUAAAAUUUGAUUCACAACAUUUCAUUGAAACAAUUAAGCUUAACUUUGACAAAGAAACCAGAUUGUCAUUUGUGAGUACCAUUCAGUUUGUGGCCUCACUACAGAGCUUGGUGAUGCUGCUUAAGAGUGAAGGAUAUAUUGCCAGUACACCCAAAUCUUCACCAUUGUCGCCAGGCGAAAUUCUGGGCUGUACGUCUCCUUCAAUAGACACAGACGUCAUCAUUUAUCUUGGAGACGGAAGAUUUCAUCUUGAAUCGGCAAUGAUAGCGAAUCCAGAUUGCAGAGCAUACAAGUACGAUCCUUACAAUAAAGAAUUUACGCAAGAGUUUUAUGAACAUGACCAGAUGAAGACCAACAGAAAAGCAGCCAUAAACACAGCUACAAAAGCCUCUAGAUUUGGUUUAAUCUUAGGGACACUGGGCCGACAAGGAAGUCCAAAAGUGCUGAACGAAAUCAAAGAGAAAGUGCUGAAAUCGAACAAGGAAUUCGUUACCAUAUUGAUGUCGGAAAUAUUUCCGUCCAAACUAGCGCUUAUGCCCAGCGUCGAUGCAUGGGUUCAAAUUGCAUGCCCAAGACUUUCAAUUGAUUGGGGUCUUGCUUUUGCCAAGCCACUCUUGACGCCUUACGAAAUCAAUGUGGCGCUGAAAGAGGUGGAAUGGAAGGACACGUACCCCAUGGAUUUCUAUGCCUAUGAAAGUUUAGGAGCAUGGACACCCAAUUACAAACCAAAAUGUGAAAAGAAAAAAACUGUCGACAGAAAAUGAAUUUAGGUCCUCUUCUGCACUUACCUCUCGCACUUAUUUUCUUGGGGAAUGGGACCUAGGAUCGCUAGGAUCACCCGACUGUACAGCCCUUCUGUUAGUACCUUGCUAACGCAGGUAGAUAAAAAUUUUGUAUUUUCCCUCUUUUUAUCCUUUUUGUUUUGGCCACUAGAUGCCAAUAGGUGCACCUUUUAGUUAAUAUAUCCGCAUCUCUCUUUCUUAUGUUCAAACCGAGAAUAUUACGUUUAUGUAUAACAUUGAUCGACGAAUUCAUAAUGUGAGUUGAACACAGGAUAUUGAAAUUUGAAACAUUGAUUUAUUUCAUAUGUUCAUGUUCAUUUACUACAUAAUUUCUGUCCCAGGCUUUAUAAAGUUCUUUCAGGGCCUCUUCGACUCAUUCGAUGUGCUUGACAAUUUCUAGCAAAAAUCUGGUUAAUUUAAAAUCCGAUAAACUUUCUGCGCGCGCGCGCUUUUCUCCCACUAGGACUGGUCAGUUUUGAAUUAAAAACUAAAAACAGUUUGACAUGUAGGCUUGCCUGAUUCACGUGAGUAAUAUGGGUUCUCCACUACAAUUAAGCUCCCAUGAAAAUUACUAUCGAAACACGGGAUUGUAUCUAUUAGAAGUAAACACACAUACGUGGUAGGUGCUCCUUCGGGUGAAACAAAAAAAAUUGUAUCGAAAUAAGAGCUAGUGUUUCCAACCGCAAUUGAUCAAUGUCACGUGCAGGAAAACCCCUAAAGUCUGAAACUACAGCAAAAACCACAGCAGCAAAAAAGUUCUUCUACGAAAAAAAAAGGUAAAUUUUACCUUCUUCUCUUUCUGUAUUUUUCUUGUGAUUCAUCGUCUUCCAUGCAUGUAUAACUUCCUGGUAGUUCGUUACGAAAUUCGUUGCCAUCAUCUCGUGGCUUAAUCUCUCAUUUACAUUUGAAUUAGUAGGACACCGUUGCGUUGGGCGUUGGCCAACGAAAUUCGAUUAGCAUUUCAAACCGGUCACAAUCGUGUGAACAUUCGUCAUCAGGAUUCUCUAGCAUGUGGACAUAGCGGCUACUAUACUAUUCAUUUUUGAAAGAUUGUAGAGCCCUAGAGCAGUGUGAAAAGAACAUCAGCUUCACCUUAUAUGGAUAGAACUAUACAAGUCAACGACCGCAUUUGCCUCAUUGUUUUAGCAUUGAUAUAAAAUGCGUAAACACUUGUAGGGCGUAUAAUUAUUAAUUUCAUUCUUUUAUGCGUAUCGACAAGAGCAUUGGUCAGGAAACCAAAAUUACUAUUUAGUUCCCCCCAAGGAGAACCCCUCCAACCUAUGGAGAUACGCACUUUCAUUUUGAAUCUCGUUCGGAAUCAACUCGAUAAAUAGUUUGCUUUUUAUUCCCCUGUGGAAAUGCAUAUUUUAACCCUAAGUUGUUUUUACUUCGAUAAAAAAUAAAUCGAAAAUCGGUACCACAAGUCGUUUUUAUGUUAAUCACGAAAUGAUAUAACGAAGUCACGACAAUAAAGUUCACGGUUAUACUGAUUGGAAA